AGCUGAUCACUGGGCUUAAAGCGUGCGCAGGCGGUUUUGUAAGACAGAGGUGAAAUCCCCGGGCUCAACCUGGGAACUGCCUUUGUGACUGCAAGGCUGGAGUGCGGCAGAGGGGGGAUGGAAUUCCGCGUGUAGCAGUGAAAUGCGUAGAUAUGCGGAGGAACACCGAUGGCGAAGGCAAUCCCCUGGGCCUGCACUGACGCUCAUGCACGAAAGCGUGGGGAGCAAACA
Molecule: ribosomal RNA, 231 nt
Filed under: uncultured Alicycliphilus sp.
Lineage: Bacteria; Pseudomonadati; Pseudomonadota; Betaproteobacteria; Burkholderiales; Comamonadaceae
Description: partial 16S ribosomal RNA
Rfam family: Bacterial small subunit ribosomal RNA
Source: RNAcentral